AUUUUCAUAUUACCUUUAACCAUAAAAAUCAGACGAUAAAUAACGUAAAUAUCAGACAAUGAUAAAACAUAACUGACUAACAUAAUUUCCGGAUUUAUUUCAGAUUUUGGUAGUAUUAAACUUCUAUGCAAGGGGUAGUUAUCAAGGUGCCGUAGGCCUCAACAGCGAUGUGACUCUGAUUGCCUUAUAUUGAGUAUUGAUGCAUCAUACACAUCAUCAUACAUUGGGCAUAUGGGCCCAACAUGAGAUAAAAGCUCACAUGGAAGAACUCUCAAUACAGGGAUAGACUACAUACCUACUGGGUGACUCAGGGUAUCCUCUCCGGUCAUUCAUGAUGACUCCAGUGGACCAUGCAGUAGACGACUCACCUGAAGGCCGCUACAAUAUAAUUCAGAAACGUGCCCGUUCCACUGUAGAGCGCACAUUUGGAAUACUAAAAGGGAGAUGGAGAUGCUUAUUAGCCGCCAGAGAAUUAAAUUACACUCCUGAGACCGCUGGCAAAAUUGCAAUUGCAUGCAGUGUAUUGCACAACAUUUGCAUACAUGCU
This is a long non-coding RNA of Plutella xylostella (diamondback moth), 547 nucleotides long. RefSeq lists it as uncharacterized. The record is from RefSeq and is a predicted model, not a curated record. NCBI's taxonomy places the organism in Eukaryota, Metazoa, Arthropoda, Insecta, Lepidoptera, Plutellidae.